This 583-nucleotide small RNA is filed under the name Pan troglodytes (chimpanzee). Its description in RNAcentral is "processed transcript". Lineage: Eukaryota; Metazoa; Chordata; Mammalia; Primates; Hominidae. The record is from RNAcentral.
GUGCUGAGCGCUGCGACUGCAGCCACGCAGAUGGCUGCCACCCUACCACGGGCCAUUGCCGCUGCCUCCCCGGAUGGUCAGUCUGCUCCCCUGGUUUUUAUGGGCAUCGCUGCAGCCAGACAUGCCCACAGUGCGUUCACAGCAGCGGGCCCUGCCACCACAUCACCGGCCUGUGUGACUGCUUGCCUGGCUUCACAGGCGCCCUCUGCAAUGAAGUGUGUCCCAGUGGCAGAUUUGGGAAAAACUGUGCAGGAAUUUGUACCUGCACCAACAACGGAACCUGUAACCCCAUUGACAGAUCUUGUCAGUGUUACCCCGGUUGGAUCGGCAGUGACUGCUCUCAACCAUGUCCACCUGCCCACUGGGGCCCAAACUGCAUCCACACGUGCAACUGCCACAAUGGAGCUUUCUGCAGCGCCUACGAUGGGGAAUGUAAAUGCACUCCUGGCUGGACAGGGCUCUACUGCACUCAGAGAUGUCCUCUAGGGUUUUAUGGAAAAGAUUGUGCACUGAUAUGCCAAUGUCAAAACGGAGCUGACUGCGACCACAUUUCCGGGCAGUGUACUUGCCGCACUGGAUUCAU